This is a long non-coding RNA of Canis lupus familiaris (dog), 451 nucleotides long. RefSeq lists it as uncharacterized. The record is from RefSeq and is a predicted model, not a curated record. NCBI's taxonomy places the organism in Eukaryota, Metazoa, Chordata, Mammalia, Carnivora, Canidae. The transcript has 3 exons.
GAUCUGCCCAGCUGAACAUAGGCUUCUUUUCAGACCCUCUUCUCUCCACUUUCUUUUAGACCACUUUUCAAAGAGUAAUUUCUAAGAAUCUGCCAGAUUGAGCAAAUAAGAAGCCAGAAUGCUCAGCUGAAUCUGAAUUUCAGAGGACCACAUAAUCAUAAGCGCCUGAUGCAGGGGCACAGAGAUGGACCUGGCUGUUCCAGUGUGGGCUUCUGGGGUCUCUGUGCCACCUCCUUUAGCUUCACAACACACCCACCCCUCUUGCCCUGUGUGCUACUAGUAGGGUUCUUCCUCAGCCUCAGGGAGCCAACUGAGUGCAGCUUUCUUUUUCAGGUAAUAGACUUCGUGAGGGUUACAAAUAUGGAGCACUUCGCAAAUUUGCUUGUCAUCCUUGCACAGAGGCCAUGCUAAUCUUUGUAUCAUUCCAAUUUUAGUGUAUGUCCUGCCAAAA